Molecule: long non-coding RNA, 2889 nt
Filed under: Homo sapiens (human)
Lineage: Eukaryota; Metazoa; Chordata; Mammalia; Primates; Hominidae
Description: non-protein coding lnc-POM121L2-2:1
Source: RNAcentral
ACAUAGAUCAGACUCUCCAGCCGCCAUGCCUACACCUCCCAAUUAGGACCUCAGGCCUGUGCUAGCCACGCCCCAAACCCUAAAUCUCUCCAGCCGCAGACAACCCUGGGAAAUGUAGUCUGCGGACAAGAGCCAGCCGGCCCACAGCCAGAGCCAUGCAAGCGCAGUUCUCUUCGGACAGAGCCACUGUCUCAAGACUCUGCCCUUCUUCAAGAGAAGAGCCCAGAAGAAGAGAGAAUGACUGCUAGGCCCUUUAUGGCUGGAUUCAGGCCAUGUAAGGCAUGCCUGCUUCCCCUUCACCUUCCACCAUGAUUGUAAGUUUCCUGAGGCCUCCCCAGGUGUGCUUCCUGUACAGCCUGUGGAAUGUUACCAAAGACGUUGGAAGAGGUGGCUAUGGACAUCACCUGGGAGAAGUGGAAGCAAAUGGACACUGUUCAGAAGUCCAUAUACAGAAACAUGUUGGAAAAAUAUAGAAACCUGGUUUUGCUAGAUGGGAAGCUUGAACGUGGGGCCAAGACAUCAAGAGUAGAGCAGCAGGACAUUUCAAAAGAAGAUUAAUCUCAAAGAUUAGAGAUGGAAGAACUUGCAAAGAGAAAGUCUGUACCGGAAGAAAUCUGGAAAUCUAGAGGCCAGUUUAAGAAUCAGCAGCUAAACAAGGAGAAUAAUCUAGGGCAAGAGAUAGCUACCUGCACAAAAAUUCCUACCAGAAAAAGAGACAUAGAAUCUAAUGAAUUUGUGAAAAAUUUUACUGUAAGAUCAAUACUUGUUGCAGAACAGAUAGAUCCUAUGGAAGAGAAUUGUCAUAAAUAUGGUACAUGUUGAAAGAUGCUCAAACAAAACUCAGAUUUAAUUAUACAAAGAAAGUAUGAUGGAAAAAAAAAAACCUUGUAAAUAUAGUGAAUGUGGGAGAACCUUCAGAGGCCACAUCACUCUUGUUCAGCAUCAAAUAACUCAUUGUGGAGAGAGACCCUGUAAAUGUACUGAGUGUAGAAAGGGAUUUAAUCAGAGUUCCCACUUAAGAAAUAAUCAGAAAACUCUUUCAGGAGAAAAGCCCUACAAAUGCAGUGAGUGUGGGAAGGCCUUCAGUUAUUGCUUAGUUCUUAAUCAACACCAGAGAAUUCACAGUGGAGAGAAACCUUAUGAGGGUACUGAAUGUGGCAAGACAUUCAGUCGUAGUACAUACCUUACUCAGCAUCAAAGAAUUCACACUGGUGAGAAGCCCUAUACAUGUCUUGAAUGUGGAAAGGCUUUUAGUCAGAACACACAUCUUACUCUACAUCAGAGAAUCCAUACUGGAGAGAAACCUUAUGAAUGCAAUGAAUGUGGUAGGUCCUUUAGUCAGAGUGCACAUCUUACUCAACAUCAAAGAAUGUAUACAGGAGAAAAACUCUAUGAAUGUAAUGAAUGUGAGAAAGCCUUCCAUGAUCACUCAGCUCUUAUUCAACAUCAUAUUGUCCAUACUGCAGAGAAACCCUAUGAAUAUCAUGACUGGGAAAACUUUCAGUUACUGUUCAGACCUCAUUCAACAUCAGAGAAUGCACACUGGAGAGAAACCAUACAAAUGCAAUGAAUGUGGGAAUGCCUUUAGUGAUUGUUCAUCCCUUAUUCAGCAUCAAAGAACUCACACCGGAGAAGAGCCUUAUGAAUGUAAGCAAUGUGGAAAAGCCUUUAGCAGAAGCACAUACCUUACUCAACAUCAGAGAAGUCACGCAGGAGAGAAACAGUAUAAAUGCAAUGAAUGUGAGAAAACUUUCAGCCUGAGUUCAUUCCUUACACAGCAUAUGAGGGUUCAGACUGGAGAAAAACCCUACAAAUAUAAUGAAUAUGGAAAAGCUUUUAGUGACUGCUCAGGACAUUUUCAGAGAACUCACACUGGAGAGAAGCCCUGUGAAUGUAAUGACUGUGGGAAACCUUUCAGUUUCUGUUCAGCCCUAAUUCAACAUAAGAGAAUUCAUACCAGAAAGAAGCCCUGACUGUACCUUCAUACCAGUAAAUGCACUGACUGUGGAAAAGCCUUCAGUGAUUGGUUAGCACUUGUUCAACAUCAGAUAACUCAACACUGGAGAAAAACCGUAUAAAUGUACUGAAUGUGGAAAAGCCUUCAGUUGGAGUACAGACCUCAAAAAUCACCAGAAAACUCAUACUAGUGAAAAAUCCUAUAAAUGUAAUGAAUGUAGAAAGGCCUUUAGUUACUGCUCUGGUCUUAUUCAAUGUCAGGUCAUUCAUACUAUAGAAAAACCUUAUGAAUACGGUAAAUGUGGCAAAGCCUUUAGGCAGAGGACAGACCUUAAAAAACAUCAGAAAAUGCAUACCGAAGAGAAACCCUAUGAAUGUAAUGAAUGUGGGAAAGCCUUUAGCCAGAGCACAUAUCUUACAAAACACCAAAAAAUUCAUAGUGAAGAGAAAUCAAAUAUACAUACUGAGUGUGGGGAAACCAUUAGACAAAACUCUUCUUUUUUACAACAAUAAAAACCUCACACUGGAGAGAUUCUCUGAAUGCCUUAAGAAUUUGGUUAAUAUGGAGACCCUUCCCAGGGAAACAGAAGGAGGAUCGUGAAAACUGUUGACUACUUAGAAUGAUCACAUGGUUUAGUGGAGAGAGCAUGAUUCUGGGUUUUAAAAGUCAUGGAUCUCAAUCUCAGCUCCUAUUACUAACUAGAUCUUUUACUUUGGGGUAAGUCACUUCAUAUCUUUAGGCCUUAAUUUCCUCAUCUGAAAAACUGGAAGGCCUGACUUGUUGAGCUUUAAGAUCCUCAAUUAUUAUAUUUACUAGGAAUUCAAGUUUCUAUAGAUGUGGUUCAGAAUUGUGACUUAUUUAUUGUACAUCAGGUGUGAUUCACAAGUGAGCUUGUAGUAGUUAUUAAGGAGUCAAUAAAGAUAUGAUAUAGA